GUUUCUCCAUGGGUGGGGAUUUGUUGCAUUACUUGUAGCUAUACGUAGAGUAUUGCACUUGUCCCGGCCUGUGGAGGAAAG
Molecule: microRNA precursor, 81 nt
Filed under: Steatornis caripensis (oilbird)
Lineage: Eukaryota; Metazoa; Chordata; Aves; Caprimulgiformes; Steatornithidae
Also listed under: 2 other names
Description: mir-92 microRNA precursor family
Rfam family: mir-92 microRNA precursor family
About the family: This family represents the microRNA precursor mir-92. Human miR-92 has two predicted hairpin precursor sequences: mir-92-1 on chromosome 13 and mir-92-2 on chromosome X. miR-92 has also been cloned from mouse embryonic stem cells.
Source: Rfam by way of RNAcentral